This 375-nucleotide unclassified non-coding RNA is filed under the name uncultured Actinomycetes bacterium. RNAcentral's name for it is "uncultured actinobacterium contains 16S-23S intergenic spacer region". Lineage: Bacteria; Bacillati; Actinomycetota; Actinomycetes. The record is from RNAcentral.
UCCGAGUUGACCCCGGCAGUCUCCUAUGAGUCCCCGCCAUUACGCGCUGGCAACAUAGAACGAGGGUUGCGCUCGUUGCGGGACUUAACCCAACAUCUCACGACACGAGCUGACGACAACCAUGCACCACCUGUGCAGGCUCCGAAGAGCGCCCGCUUUCACGGGUUUCACCCUGCAUGUCAAGCCCAGGUAAGGUUCUUCGCGUCGCAUCGAAUUAAGCCGCAUGCUCCGCCGCUUGUGCGGGCCCCCGUCAAUUCCUUUGAGUUUCAAUCUUGCGAUCGUACUUCCCAGGUGGGAUACUUAAUGCGUUAGCUGCGGCACCGGAGGGGUCGAUACCCCCGACACCUAGUGCCCAACGUUUACGGCGUGGACUAC